GCUUACGGCCAUACCAGCCUGGGUACGCCCGAUCUUGUCAGAUCUCGGAAGCUAAGCAGGGUCGGGCCUGGUUAGUACUUGGAUGGGAGACUGCCUGGGAAUCCCAGGUGCUGUAAGCA
RNAcentral lists this ribosomal RNA (119 nucleotides) under Salmo salar (Atlantic salmon). Lineage: Eukaryota; Metazoa; Chordata; Actinopteri; Salmoniformes; Salmonidae. The record is from RNAcentral.